AAAUUAUUUUCAUAUUAAACUUCUUUAAUGAUUGAUAGAUUAUCAAACUACUAAACAAAAUUAGAAUCCAUUAAAUAUAAAUUCUAUUCCUUGAGCUUCCAAAUGUACAAGAAUUACAACAAACUUGGUAACUUCAAUGAUUCCAAUGAAUAUCUUAUAUUAGUUUUAGAAAUCUCAAAUAGGUUGGUAUAUCAACAACUUUCUUUUGUCCCUAUUAGAUUAUUCUUAAAUAUUCGAAGUAGGUCAUAAGAUACAUCAAUCAUCAUAAAUUAUCCACACUCUUCUUGACAGAAGCAAGAAUACUACCUUUACUAUUCUACUACAAAUUCCAUUCUGCAAAAACCUUGAGAUGUAUCUUUUUUAUAUAAAUGUAAAUAAACAACAAUUAUGUCUUUAAAUAUAGCUUUUGGACAUUCAUCCCUAUUCAUCAUCUACAUAUACAAUUAUUAUAGAAGUAGAAUUAAGAUCUAGAAAUAAUAGCCGGACAUCCAACUUCUAAUAUGAAAUUAAUUAUAUUUGUUUUUAGAAAUUAAUAGUCAUAGGUAAAAAUUAGAUAUGUGUGAGCCUAAAAUCCACCACUUUAUGGAUUUAGUACUACACAAUGAGCUCAAGAGGUAGAAUGGAAGAACUCCCAAUUGUGAAAUUGUUAGAUUAAUUAAAAUGUGGGUGUUUGUAAUUCAAUUAAAAUUAACGCCAUAUUUAAAUUAAAAUAUCAGAUGAAAUCCACCACAUAAAAAAAUGAUAAAAGUAAGUAAUUAAAAUUUUCUUAUUAAUUCACAAUAAGAAUAAAAACUUAAGUUUAAAUUAAAAGUUAAAAGUUAAUGUUAAAAGUUAAAGUUAAAAGUUAAAGUUAAAAGUUAAAGUUAAACUUAAAUAUUAAAUUCAAAAGUUAAAGUUCAAAGUUUAAAAAUUUAAGUGAGAAUAUUAUAGGUUAAAAGUUAAGAGUUAAAAUUUAUUAGUCAAAAGUUGAAAUGUGGAGGUUACGAGUUACUGUGAAGAUAAAAGUAAAAAUAAAAUAAGAGGGGUAAAAGCGAAGGUACCUUGACAACGCCAAGGAUUGAAGGCAGCAACCCCCUUCUACUCCAAAAUUCGCCAAAAAUUUUAAUUAGCUCCAAAUUGAAUGAUUCGCAAGUUUUUGCAAAGUUAACUUAUAGGCGCUCCUGCUCCAACAAAUCUCAUUGCAAUCUAGUGAUCCAGUCGUGAGAAUUGCUCCUUUGAAGUUGAGUGAUCCAAACUGCUGCGGCGACCAACCCCCUUCACUUGGAAAUUCGCUAAAAAUUCAAAUUGUCUUCAAAUCCAGCGAAGCUUGUGCCCUUCAAAGCUUAGCUUAUAAAUCUUGAUGCUCCCAAAAUUUCAAACGAAUCCAGUUAUCAGGCACUGAGAAAUGCCUUCCCAAACUCGAUUAAUCCAAACUGCAAAGGCAGUCGACCUCUUCACACUCAAAAUUUCACCAAAAAUUCAGUUCAACUCCAAAUGGAGCGAGCCUUACCUUUUUGGAAAGCUAACAACAAAAGCUACAACCACAAAAAAAAUCACAUUGGAACUAAAACAAUUGAAUGACUGAUGGAGGGAAAUCUGAGGCUCUUGAAACCCUUAGAGUAAUUGGGAGGCCAAGGGAGCUAUUCACCACAAUGAAACGUGUUUUAAGACCCAAUGACUAUCAUUCACAACUUGAAAUCCAUGCACACCCACCCACAAAAUUCACAAUGAGAUUUAAAAUCUAAAUAAAAUUAAAAUUAGGGUUUUUGGCCAAAUUUUAGCAUGGCUUUGCCCUUCACCAAAAGAGGAGAGAGAGAGGGCUUGGAAAACCAGGCCUUUCUUAAACAAUUGCCUGGAGGCUCGUAGAAGGGUGACUACAUCUCCACCCUUGAUUUUUCAGAUCCCUAAUCUAAAUCUACGG
This 1900-nucleotide long non-coding RNA is filed under the name Physcomitrium patens. RNAcentral's name for it is "long non-coding RNA (PPAT_LNC011523)". Lineage: Eukaryota; Viridiplantae; Streptophyta; Bryopsida; Funariales; Funariaceae. The record is from RNAcentral.